UCUGUAAAAUGAACACAUCAAACCUCAUUUUGCAUUUAAAGCUGUAAACAGGCCAAAUAACAGUAAAUCAUCAAUCACACUAGACUCGGGCUCCAUUAGCAACCUUAAGCAAUUUCACACAUGCGUUAAUUCAAGAAAUACCGUUUUAUCAUUUUGAACUUUAAUACCGUGAUAGGAAAUAGGGUGAGGGGUCCUUACUUGUUUUCGAGAUCCGAAUACGAUUCACAGUGCGCCUGCAGGCCUUCCCUAAUUUUCCCUGAAUUUUUCCCGGGGAACUGAAACACACUAACAAUACCUGCACGUGUUCCAAAAAAAAAUCCAAAUUAGGCCCAGGGCCCCUUUCGGACCAAAUCGCAACUCCGGCACGGCGGCUCCGCCGUGCUCCGGCGACGGCACCGCCGCUGGCGGCGGCGAGUCGCCUCGGGUUGACUGUUUUCGGCCGUUUUCGGCCGAAUUCGGCCACACUCGCAUUGGUCCUUGUCAGAAAACAGCCCUAGGGCCCUCGGGGGGCCAAAAAUCACGGAAAAAACGGAGCUUACCGGCGGCGGCGCUCUCGGGUGCAGCGGCUCUCCGGCGAGGUUCGUGUUUUGGUGAUUCGGCUCCGGUCAACCUGUAGAGAAAAGAAUGGUGAUCACGGUGAUAUAAAAAUUGCAUCGAACGGAGGCCGGGAAGGGCCUCGUCGGAGGCAAAAACCGAGAGGGGGCGCGGCGGCGCCGCUGGGCUUCGGCCGCGUAUUCCGGCCGUUUGGCCGGGAUUUCGGUUUCGAUUUGGCCAUAGGAGGAAUCAGUGCGGAAAAACGAGUCGGGGGUAUGAAAUUUACCUCGAUCGGCGGUCGGAAAUUUCCCCGGUGCGGCGGCGAGUGGCGGCGGGUGGCGGCGGUCGGCCUCUGGUUCGUCUUCUCCGGCGAGCGGCUGGCGGCUAGGGUUUGUGGUCUGGUGUGGGGGUUCUAUUUAUAACCCCUUGCCUUUUGAUCACAGCCGUUCAUUUUGUUUUAAUCUGGGCCGUUCGUUUUUGAUUGAAUCUGGGCCGUCCGUGCGAUUGAAUCUGGGCCGUCCGAUCGCGUGAUUGAUCUGGGCCGUCGGAUCGCACCCACGCGGAUCGCCAACGUGGCUCCUUUCGGAGUGACGCGAUCUUGCCACGUGGCAGGCACUGGUUGGCCGGGACUGCUGACGUGGCUGCUGACGCGGCUGCUGACGUGGCCCCCCUUUUUUUUUUUUUUUUUUUUUUUUUUUUUUUUUUUUUUUUUUUUUUUUCCCCUCCUCCUUUCCGGGUGCUACAACUCUCCCCCCCAUAAAGAAAUUUGGUCCCCAAAUUUGCCUCAUUACUCUUGAUCAAACAGAUGAGGAUAUUGGGCCCUAAAUUCUGAUUCCAGCUCCCAAGUCGCCUCCCUAGGUGUGUGGUUCUGCCACAAGACUUUUACAAAUGAUAUUUCCCGGUUACGGAGUAUUCUGC
This 1452-nucleotide long non-coding RNA is filed under the name Carica papaya (papaya). RNAcentral's name for it is "long non-coding RNA (CPAP_LNC003509)". The record is from RNAcentral. Lineage: Eukaryota; Viridiplantae; Streptophyta; Magnoliopsida; Brassicales; Caricaceae.